Molecule: long non-coding RNA, 627 nt
Filed under: Zonotrichia albicollis (white-throated sparrow)
Lineage: Eukaryota; Metazoa; Chordata; Aves; Passeriformes; Passerellidae
Description: lncRNA (ENSZALG00000006950.1)
Source: RNAcentral
GGCUUGGCUAAUAGAAAAUUGCUGUAAAUACUACAAGAGCACAAGGAUGGAUUUAUUUAGUCAGAAAAACCAUCGCUCAUCAGACUUGAAGAAGAGGAAAGGCAGUGGUCAAGUCCAAUUGACAAAAUGUGGUUAAGUGAAUUGUCACAUCUGCAUUCAUUAGCAAAAUUAUUUAGGGGGGUGCAAAAGCGUUCACACCCAGUUCUGGUUUCCACAGGUCAUUGGGUGCCUGUUGCUUAGAAAGGCUCUGACAAGGCAGGCAUGCCAACCUGAUAAUGACUGCUGUGAAGAGCAUAAGAAGUUUCCCUUUGCUUCAAUUCUUUGGAGUCACAGAAGAGACACAGAUAAAGCAGGAGGAUGGAGCUCAGUCGUGGAAUUCAGUAUGUAAAACACCAACCUGAGAAGACAAGUAAUUGAAUUGGCUGGGAGUUUCUGUAGCUGGCAUUGCUUCAACAGCUUCUACAACAGGGCAGUUCUUGUUUUUACCUUUCAAGACUAAUCUCAAAAAAAUUGGAGGGAACUCAAAGAGGAUCCAAAGCAAUGGUUGAAGACCUGGAGGAUAUACAAAGACUCAAAGGAUCUCAACCUAUGUAUUAGGCAUGUAAUAAAGUUAGGAGAGAGUCUGCA